This 325-nucleotide ribosomal RNA is filed under the name Escherichia coli. RNAcentral describes it as "bacterial SSU rRNA". It matches the Rfam family "Bacterial small subunit ribosomal RNA", at positions 1 to 322 of the family's 1533-position model. Lineage: Bacteria; Pseudomonadati; Pseudomonadota; Gammaproteobacteria; Enterobacterales; Enterobacteriaceae. The record is from RNAcentral.
AAAUUGAAGAGUUUGAUCAUGGCUCAGAUUGAACGCUGGCGGCAGGCCUAACACAUGCAAGUCGAACGGUAACAGAAAGCAGCUUGCUGCUUUGCUGACGAGUGGCGGACGGGUGAGUAAUGUCUGGGAAACUGCCUGAUGGAGGGGGAUAACUACUGGAAACGGUAGCUAAUACCGCAUAACGUCGCAAGACCAAAGAGGGGGACCUUCGGGCCUCUUGCCAUCGGAUGUGCCCAGAUGGGAUUAGCUAGUAGGUGGGGUAACGGCUCACCUAGGCGACGAUCCCUAGCUGGUCUGAGAGGAUGACCAGCCACACUGGAACUGA